This 91-nucleotide microRNA precursor is filed under the name Aedes aegypti (yellow fever mosquito). Its description in RNAcentral is "microRNA aae-mir-307 precursor". Its record names the gene aae-mir-307. The stretch from base 12 to 88 matches the Rfam family "mir-67 microRNA precursor family". Lineage: Eukaryota; Metazoa; Arthropoda; Insecta; Diptera; Culicidae. The record is from miRBase by way of RNAcentral.
CUAGUUUCCCGGCAGUCGAUCACUCACUCAACCUGGGUGUGAUGCUUAUUUGAAUCAUCACAACCUCCUUGAGUGAGCGACCGAUUGAUGG